CCAGACUCCUACGGGAGGCAGCAGUGGGGGAUAUUGCACAAUGGGGGGAACCCUGAUGCAGCGACGCCGCGUGGGUGAAGGGGUGUUUCGGCAUGUAAAGCCCUAUCGGCAGGGAAGAAGCAAGACGGUACCUGACUAAGAAGCCCCGGCUAACUACGUGCCAGCAGCCGCGGUAAUACGUAGGGGGCGAGCGUUAUCCGGAUUCACUGGGUGUAAAGGGAGCGUAGACGGCCAUGCAAGCCAGGGGUGAAAGCCCGGGGCCCAACCCCGGGACUGCCCUUGGAACUGCAUGGCUGGAGUGCGGGAGGGGCAGGCGGAAUUCCUGGUGUAGCGGUGAAAUGCGUAGAUAUCAGGAGGAACACCGGCGGCGAAGGCGGCCUGCUGGACCGCGACUGACGUUGAGGCUCGAAAGCGUGGGGAGCGAACAGGAUUAGAUACCCCUGUAGCU
This 448-nucleotide ribosomal RNA is filed under the name uncultured bacterium. RNAcentral describes it as "bacterial SSU rRNA". It matches the Rfam family "Bacterial small subunit ribosomal RNA", at positions 331 to 795 of the family's 1533-position model. The record is from RNAcentral.